CGGAUUCCAAUAGGCAUAAGAGAGGAAAAUCAAAAGUUUAUUGGAAAAUCUCGUUCUGGGCUUAGUUAUCUGUCAACAAGUGAACUUAUUAUAUUGUCAAAGAGAAGAAGGGAAAUGUAAAUAAGUGUUUUGCGUCGUGGGCCUUUAAGUGCAAGUCAUUUAGAAAAUACUCGGAUUUGCGAGGAACAUUUUAUGUGUGGCACUCCAGCUGACGUAGCGAAUAAGGAUCAUCCUGAUUGGGUGCCUUGUCAAAAAUUAGGUUAUGAAAAAGGAGCCGCUCUAAAAA
Long non-coding RNA from Belonocnema kinseyi, 286 nucleotides. RefSeq lists it as uncharacterized. NCBI's taxonomy places the organism in Eukaryota, Metazoa, Arthropoda, Insecta, Hymenoptera, Cynipidae. The transcript has 2 exons. The record is from RefSeq and is a predicted model, not a curated record.